Molecule: ribosomal RNA, 155 nt
Filed under: Ameiurus nebulosus (brown bullhead)
Lineage: Eukaryota; Metazoa; Chordata; Actinopteri; Siluriformes; Ictaluridae
Source: RNAcentral
GAUCCAUUUUGGACGGGGCCCCUCCGCCUCCGACGCGGCUGUCGACCGGGCCGGACUGUCCUCAGUCCGCCGCCCGACCGCGCCGCGCGCCAGGGCGGGGACCGGCCCACGUCACCGAAAGGGCGCUCGGGGUCCGGGCGAUGCCGGCCACCCAA